RNAcentral lists this non-coding RNA (31 nucleotides) under Mus musculus (house mouse). Lineage: Eukaryota; Metazoa; Chordata; Mammalia; Rodentia; Muridae. The record is from RNAcentral.
UAGAGCUCAAUAUAGUGAGUGCUUUAAGGUA